UUGGAAGGUUCUUUAUUCUUGUGGGAAUUUGUGUUACAUGCGCCAUCAUUGCUUCAUUAACUGGACUCUACAUCAUGCACAAAAAAGUCAUAAAGCUUCGAAACCUUUGCUGUAAACCUGAUACACAACAGCCUAACGAUCCUGAUGAAUUGCAGCACUACGCCACGUGUGGGCCAGGAGCCAUCUACAACUCUCUGUGGACCCCUUCAGUGCUUGAAACACAUGAUCACACACACACAUACGAAAGUAUCUCAACAAAAUUUCAAUAAAAGCAGAUUUGUUUAUGCAUACUGAAAUGUGUAGAGGUUUGUACUCAGCAAAGGUACUUCAUGCAGACUCAGUGCACACCUACUCUUUGGGUAAAAUUGAGAUAAAAUUGAGCAUCCUCCAACAUAC
Molecule: long non-coding RNA, 396 nt
Organism: Neoarius graeffei (lesser salmon catfish)
Lineage: Eukaryota; Metazoa; Chordata; Actinopteri; Siluriformes; Ariidae
Exons: 3
Source: RefSeq, a predicted model, not a curated record